This 254-nucleotide ribosomal RNA is filed under the name uncultured bacterium. Its description in RNAcentral is "partial 16S ribosomal RNA". It matches the Rfam family "Bacterial small subunit ribosomal RNA", at positions 524 to 776 of the family's 1533-position model. The record is from RNAcentral.
UACGGAGGGUGCGAGCGUUGUCCGGAAUCAUUGGGCGUAAAGGGCGCGUAGGUGGCCCGGUCAGUCUUUGGUGAAAGCGCGGGGCUCAACCCUGCGUCGGCCAGGGAUACUGCCGCGGCUCGAGCACUGUAGAGGCAGGCGGAAUUCCGGGUGUAGCGGUGGAAUGCGUAGAUAUCCGGAGGAACACCGGUGGCGAAGGCGGCUUCCUGGACCGACACUGACGCUGAGGCGCGAAAGCUAGGGGAGCAAACGGG